UUUGCAUGCCAAGUCUUUUGCUUGGUGUGCAAGGAAAGCCUCGUGGAAAGCUGGGAUAUAAAACAUAGAGGAUGGGAAGCUUCAGUGUCAAGAACUCGUAGCGACGCAGUGUAGAAAAUAUAAUUCCAGGCUCCAGGCUCCAGGCACCAAGUCCAUAGCAAUUCUGCAAAUUCUUCAUUGUCGAUUCUCCAUUUUGUGAUUGGAAACCCAUGGCUCAAGUUCAUGCUGCGGAGUUGAAGGGCAAUCAACAGGACCUCAGUCCUAAAAAGCGCAUGGGCUGUUUUGGAUGGAGGAGUAGCAGCAACAAGACCAGCAAGAUCAAGCCCAAGAAGAACGCCCAAGUCUCAGAUGGGAAGAUCAAGGAGAGAAAACAAAAGCAAGCAAUAAUUGUUCCACACUUUGCAACUUCAGCCAGAUUGUCAAUGCUGUGACAUGGAUUUGCACAGAUUCAAGACUUUUUCCUUUUCGUCUUGAAGAAGCGAACUUGUAAUAUAUUUUGUUUCGUGAAUUGAAAUCAUUCUAUCAAUUCAAAAAAAUUUCUUCAAUUGAUCACAAAAAUGCUUGUUGUGAAGAAGAAGAACUGAGAAUGUGGAAAACUUCAGGUUUUAGGGUUUCUACGGCCUAGGUAUGAACAAGGAGAUGCAAGUGCGAAGGCGCAUCGCGAGCAUGUAAGCAUCGCAAAUGUCUCCUCCACUUUUCUCAAUCGCUUGUGCGUGCCAGCUACAACAAGCGCGAGGACAAUUUCGCGUCCCUCAGAGACUACAAUGACUACCUGGAAGACGUAGAGGACAUCAGUGAGCUCUCGUUUCAUUCUCUCAGCUGCUCACUCACUUUGCCUUGUAGUCUUCAAUCUGGUCCAAGGCAUCGAUGUGGCUGAGACGGAGGCCAAGAUCAAGGCGUAUAAUGAGGAAAACUACGAGCAAAUCCUCGCAUCCAGAGCUCGCAAGGUAAGGCGUGUUUUCGAGGAGAAACAAAUCCUUACUCUCUCUCUCUCUCUCUCUCUCUCUCUCUCUCUCUCUCUCUCACAUACACACACAGGCUGUGGAGAUUAGCACUGCUCUCCAGCAAGAGCAAGGCUUCACUGAAACGAGAGAAGCCAUAGAACAGGUAAUCAGAAAUUCUUUUCCAUGAUAUUCCAGCGAGAAUUUGGAUCGAAAACAGGGACCGUCUGGAGCGUACGCGCCGGCAGUGGCGGGGAUGUUGAUGCAGCAGCCAACGAGGCAGCCCGAGCCGAUUGGACACAGCCUGCUCAACGGUGGCGCGGCCGAGGAUCCAGAGGCGCAGAGGAUUCGAGAGGAGCGAGCCGCCAUCGCCGGGGGCUGGUCCAUAGACUGCUGCCACAGGAGGGAUCUCACGGAAGCUUUCUCCAGCUUGUGGGUCAACUAGAGACAAGAGAAGAACUGCUGCUCAAUGGAUGAAGUAGCAGUGUUCUUGAGAGCCGGCUCUCGUUGGAUAGCCCCUGUUUCCAUUUUUUCUUCAACUUUUCUACAACUUUUCUACAACUUCUAGUAAUUCUGUGCUCACAAUACCACGUAGCCUUUCAUUAGCUUAAAAAGCUGACAAAGGUGGAACCUACAGAACAGAUCACAGAAAGUUCAAAUAGCAUACAACUUUCAAACUUACCACAGCUUUUUCUUUUGAACGUUUUUCUUUUAAACGUUCACUCUACCUUACUUCUCUGAAGGUAAACUGUCCCGCUCGCUCGUGGGCAUUCCUUUGUUGUCACAACCAGCCUUAUAUAACUAGUGGAAUACCAUUCUUUGAGUUUGUGAGAGCCUUCUAAAUUCACUUUCUUGUCCAGCUUCAUGAUGUCUAGCGUCACAAAUGCUUGAGUUGCUCCUAAGUCACUUCUCGUUGUGAAUUGUACAAACACAAGCAUCUUCUUGUUCAGCUUACCAUUCCACAAGAAAAACAUUGCCUUUGGUCCUGCUUCACAGAAUGUCCCUGUCCAAGCAUAUGUUGUAAAUGAAGCAUCAGUCUCCACUGACUUGAGCCACUUGUUCAAUUGUUUUGCAUUUUUAAUCUCCUUAACUAACACUACUGACAACCCUUUUCGUUUUAAAAAGUCAUAUGUUUUCUUGUACAUAGCAUGUGUUUCUACCAAUCCAAAUAGCUCUGCUAGUACCUUCUUGUCAAAUGUAAAUCCAAAAGUCAUGCAUGUAUAUGUCUCAAAGUUGAUUUUACAUACAAAUGAGUGUUUAAAUGUGUUUAUAAAGCAUCUCAUGAGCAUACUUUGUGGCAUGUUAUGCCAUAGUGCAUUUACCACCAAAGGCUCUCGCAAGAUUAUAUAGUGAAUUUCUACUGUAACUGACAAACUAGGAGUCUCUGUUUUAUUAUCAAUAACACCUCUAAUAUAUGGAGCUAUUGGUGCAAAAUGUUCUGCUCCAUCACUGCUCUCAAGGAGAGUUGCAAAACCAUGGUCUACAAGAGUCAUGCCCCUCCAUCCUGGUACAAUCACAUGGCACCUGAAAAAGUAAUAAGUAAAUAUCACAAUAUCACGUAAUUCUAUAAAGCUUGCGGUCUUACCUGAGAGAUAGUAAGUAACUAUCAGACCUUCUAUAAAACUUGCCAUCUCAGAUUGUUCCACAGCAAAACUGCAUCGUCUCUCAAAGAGCGAUGGACUCCAAGUUCCCGGCCUGUUUGAGUGAUCAUCCUUCGUGCAAACUCCAUGAACCAAUCUGCAGCAGGUGCAGUCUCCAUAAUAUACUUCUCAAUAGCGGUUGAUAAAAGUCUUCUCCUUCCUGUGUAGGUGGAGAUAACAGCUGGCAUGUCUAGUUGACUAACAUCUAUAAACCUUUCCAUAAACACUUGGAUGUUGCUACCAUCAAAACCCAGGUAGACUGUAAAUCUCUCCCACAUCAAACUCUUUCAUAGUUGUUAGAGGUAGAGAUGAUGUGGCAGUUGUUAUGCCCACGUGGCAGUAGCUUUAUGUAUAUGUACACAAUCAUAUACAGUUAUAUAUAUAUAUACAGUUCUUCCUCCUCGUGUGCGCGUCUCUCCGCUGCUAACAUGGUAUCGGAGCCCUGGGUUCCUUGAUCCUGAGAAUGGCGCUUGCUGGCCAGGAGGCCAGUGACGAGGAGGAGGAUGAGCCUCCCGAUUGCAAUCCCUCUUGCAAUGUUUGGGACGCUUGAGGCGUUGCACCAAGGCACCAGGCUGUGUAAAGGUGCUGAGCAACAAGCAGCAGCAAGCAGAGAACAAAGCCAGUGGGAGAUUGAGAGAUUUCAACAACCCACAUCAAGAAUUGGGUCAAGAUUCAAGAACAUUGCAUAGCAAUUCUUUGCAGGAAUUUCCAGCAAUUGGGAAGGAUGGAACGAGUGUCCGAGCAGAAGGGAACCUUGCCUUGUAACGUGACUCGUACUGUGCUACUGCCGGACGUUUGAGAGAGAUAUAAGCGUCACACGGAUGUGUAAUGUCUGCUUCUGUAAUAUCUGUUUCUGCUGUUUUUGUAAUGCCUGUUUCUGUAAACAAUAAAAUUGAAAAAAAAACAAGAAACCAGUUAAACGCCACAGCAUAUGGCCACCUAAAGACAAAUGCGCAGGGAGAGCAAGGGCAAUGAGAUCGUCCUCCUUCGAUCGCCAUAGGGGCUUUGGCGAAGAAUUUCGCAUAAAGGAAAAUUGGGGCAAGAAGUAGAAACCGAAGCCAUCCUAAAAGAAAGUAGCAUACCUCUCGUGGGACGAAUGACAUGAGAAGAUCCAGCCCGAAAUUUCACUUUGCUGAGACCAUCUUCUUUUCUUGGUUCAAGAGUUCUUCAUCGGACCCUCAUCACGGAGAUGGAGUUAGCCGAGAACACCCUCUGAACCGCAUCUACGCCCACUCUACCAUCACAAAGGUAAAAUUCAUGACUCUCUGCCCCAUCUAUGUCGUCAAUGAACUCCACAAGCUCUUCCAUUUCUGCCAUAGCUUGCAACGAGUUUAGGGUACAACUCAAGGGGGAAUGCUGGCCUCCAUGCCACGUGUCAUUGUCGAAUGUCCAUUUCACAUCCAUUCUUUAUAUGCCACGUAGGAAUGGCCCAUGCCAUGUCAGGAAUUAAGCCACUCACAUAGACCAUGUUGCGAACAAAAUUGAUCAUGGUAGGCUUCUUUGCAUUAUGUUCUCACCUCUUGCUCUUAUUGCACAUGACAAAAGAUGAAAAAAACUAUCACUAUGCAAGUUAGUGGUAACUUCCUUAAUGAGAGUCUAUUUGAAUUGGCUUAAGCUUAUCAACUAAGCUAGCAAAUGUCGUAAUUAAAAGCUCAAAGAGUCUAUUGAAUGGGGAACUUAGAUUGUAUCCUAGCAUUAUUGUAAAUUUGGGCAACUUUGGGCAUUCGAGAAUAAAACCCCAUUCAUCCAUGUCCAUCAUAAAAUCUUCCAUUUGUGGAAAAAUGAGUUAUAUUGAAGAACUUGUUGGUAUAAGCAUUUUUAUUAGAGAGUUCUUUAUAAGAGCGGCUUGAUAGAGUUCAAUAUAGUAGAGAAAAAGUUUCUUAGCAAGGGGUUUAAUCCUAUUGAAUUGUUACUCUUGAAAGGAACUUGGUGACACUCCAAGUUGUAGAACGUUGGGAGGACACCACAAUAGAUGUGGGGCAAGCCACAUGCAAAAGCCAUUAGAGAGGUUGAUUGCAAAAUGUUUAAACAGUCCUCCUCUGUUAAAUUGUCAAUCAUUCUCAUUUAGAACUUUUUGCAAUUGCUAAUAUUGCAAUUAUACACCCACAAGAGAUUUGUGCAUUAUAUUUGAACACUUGGAAUAGCAACUAACCCACAAAGUCAACUUAUGCAUACAGAAAUAAAGACCAUACCAAAGUUGUGUUUUAAACUUCACUUUCCUUGUCUUUUUGUCACAAUGUCCUAAAAUGCAUUGGCAUCUAGGGAUGCCUUGCUGAUUGUAUAAGAUGGACCUCAAGGCAUGAGUUACAUAUUUAGAAUGCACUCAAUUAACUGUGAGGUGCAUUAGGUAUAAAGGAGGAGGGUGAUUGGUGUAAAUCCAUGGAUUCCAUCUUGGAGAAUCCCAGCAAUUAUGACUAUAAUGUAAUGUUUGAGUCUAGACUCACCAAACUUGGUGAAAGCUAUAAAUAAGCUAUGGAAGCAUCCAUGGCUGCAAUAGUGUGGCAUUACCUAUUCAUAAAGCUAAAGGCAAUGGAAAACCUAUUGUAAGAAGGCUUGCAAUACUCACUAUGCAUAGAAGCUCUAUAGAGCCAUUACAAGAGUUUAACAUUAUUAAGUGGGCUUUCACUCAUUGGCAUAAAUGCUUUACUAUAGAUCUUUCUAGUAAAGAUGAUCAUUCCUCUUGUGCAACUCAUCAACUACCUAAUCUUUGAUUUGAACUUUGGAGAAAACUUCCACACCUAAGUUGUGGACAUCAUCCAAAGUAACUCUACAUCUACUCUUACUAAAGUGAGGAUGAGCUUUCAAUCCCUGAAAACUCUAGUUCUUUGCCCUUAGCACAUGGUAUAUAUUGGAUAGUUUAGCCCAUGUUUGAAAAUCCUUCUCACUCAAUUCAAAUAUUAAAAUGGUUAUGUUUGGAAAAAUGAUUGAAGUGUCCCUACUGUUGAUCUUCUUGGCCAAACGUUAUUGCACAAAAUUGCAAUCUCCUUAAGCAUGCUAUUCUUGAGAAGUAGUCAAGCCCAACUCAUAUAUGCCUUCAACAAUUAGUGCACACCAGCCUAAAGUUAAGGAAUCAGCCUCAAUGUUGUAGCUUGGGUCUUACCAUUCCCCUCAGUGUUGCCUAUGUCACACAUGAAUGAGCUCUUCACCAACACCAUGCAAACUUGCAUCCAAAUACAAGCUCCACCAUGUCAUGGAAUUGGUAAAGGUGUUUGUUGAAACUAAGACUAUAAUCAGGAAGAUGAGCAUGAAGUGAGGGGUUAGACACGGGACCAUACAAAGUGUUCAUAAACCCUAUAUAAAAGUUGCUAUGGUUUGCUCUUUUGCCAAAGGAAAGUGCCUUUCAUUGCAACAUGAGCAAUCAGUAGAAUAAUGAUUCCUUUAUCUUUAGCCUAGUUUGUGCCUCUAAGGUGUUAAAAGACCUAGAUUGCAAAUCAAUGGCAAGGAAGGAUAAACUCAAUUGGCUGCAUUGGGGGCACGACUCCAGAUGCUAUACAUCCACAGCUUCGCAAAGGCAUUUGUUGUCAAGAACACCAUGUUAAAGAAGAUAGUGUGCAAGAGAAUGAAAAUUUGGGGUGAGAACAUUGUGCUCUAGAGAAGCUACAUUUGGUUUGCAACAUGUUGAAUGCAUGGGAUGUCUAUGGGCCCGGCACUUUCCCCAUACCCUAGCCUUGAGUGGUGCCCUAAACUCGGAGCUAUGGAUGGAAGAGCUUGUGGAGUCUCCGUUAUUCUUCCUCUCAGCUGUGAGCAUCGCGGUGGAUGCUUGGAGACUGGCCUUAACCGGGCGAGUUUAGUAGGGUGGUGCACGAGGAUUUGAGCAAUUACGAUCCAGAAGGUAGAGAAAACUUCGCCAUUCGCAUGCUCUGAUCUAAUUAACGUAGCUGCCGCUCCAGGCGCUUGGCCUGUUCUUGUCGUCGAGUUUGUGGAUCACAUGUACAGGUAACACACUGUAGUUCUCUUGCUGGAAAAGAAUGGCCGUCCUCACAAAAUCCUCCUGCUUUCAGAAGCUCGUCAUGCUCUUGCAUUGCGGAAGCCUGCGUUUGCGAUCCGAGUGCAGUGCUGAGCUCUUCGGAAGUUUUGGAUGCUACCUCUCAAUUGAACCGAGCGAAUACACUACCAGGCAAGAAAACUCGCUACCAAUAUGAUGCCUAAAGAUCUAUCUCUCUUCACAGGUAUGGCUGCUACCGCCGGUAGUAAGAGGCGGAGGAAAGACGAACGACGAGGUGUUUUUGUCGCGGCAUUUGAAGCGUCUACUGCUGGAGAAACUUCUGCUCAUGUCCUCCGGUGGAUUUUGACAGAUGAAAGCUUUGUAGUAGAGAAAUUCUUUUCAAUGUAUAGUGGUGCCCAAGCGAGCGAUGAUUCUUUUUCCGCAUAGUAUUCUUGUGACCGAGAAACACGUGACAAUAAUGAUCUAGACUCUAUUCAAGUCAAAGUCUGGAGUCCUAACAACUCUCUAUAUUUCUUGGCUAGCAAGUUAGGACGAAGUAUAUAAUGUGUGCCCUGAGAAUUUCUUUCAUUUGUUUUGGAAUGGCAGCAGGUGGAAACAGCAUCAAGAUGGACGAGCAACAAAAGGUUGCAAAGGUCGAUUGUUUUGGAUGGAUGAGACAAUGGAAAUUCAAAGUAGCAAACAAGGUGGAGAAUUCGCAAGAUUGGAGCAAGACUAUGGAAAGCAGCAGUGAGUCAAAGAAAAAGAAAAAGGAUGCAAUUGUCGUUCCUCACUUCUCUUCCUCGCCAAGACUUCCACUCCUGUAAUAGUAGAGAAAAGCUUCCAGAUUGUUUGUUCUCCCUCCAAAUAUCUUCUCUGUUUUAAGAUCUGGUACUCAGGAUAAGUUGGUCAAGCUAGGAUGAAUGAGCAGCAUCGUAUCCAUUUCCAGGACACUUCGUUUGCAUGCCGAGUCAUUUCUUGGUUUGCACGGAAAGUUUUUUGGACAAGGAUUGAAAUCAGGAAUUCGCAGCAACAGAGCGUAGAAAAUCUAAUUCAGCCUUCACGCACGAAGACUAUAUCCUUUGUUCUCUCAAAUUUGUGACUGGCUCAAUGGAGUUAGUGCUUUGGAUGGAGGAGUAGUCAACCCACAAUCUGAGUCCUGUUGAUUGCCCUCACAAUAUCCAGAAGCUCGUCGUUCUCUUGCAUCGCGGAAGCCUUCCGAGUGCCGUGAUGAGCUCUUCGGAAGUUUUGGAUGCUACCUACCGAGAGGCAGAGGAAAGACACGAACGACGAGGUGUCUUUGUCGCGGCAUUUGAAGCGUCUACUACUAGAGAAACCUCUGCUCAUGGGUUUUGAUAACAAGACAAUAAUAUGAAGCGAAUUUUUUUUCCACUGUUGUAAUCUAGACUCUAUUCAAAUACAAAACGAUCAUUGAUUUUGGAAUGGCAGCAGGAGUUCAAGGUGGAAACACGGACGAGCAACAAGAGGUUGCAACGAGACAAUGGAAAUUGAAAUAAGUAGCAAGCAAUGUGAGCAAGACUAUGAAAAGUAGCAGUGAGAUGCAAUUGUCACUUCUCUAGACUUCCACUCCUGUAAUAGGCUUCUAAAUUUUUUAUUUUUUGUAAUGAAAAUAAAUCUGUCAUCUUGAACAUUUGAAUCUGUUCUAAAUUUUGGUAGUCCAUUUCGUGUGAGGGAUGUGAUCCUCCCAAAAGCAUGGAAAUUUAAGAUAUCUCGAUUGAAUACUGGACGUUAAUCUUUUCAAUCACAUUAAAAUUCCAAUUAAAACUGUACGUGAUAAUUUUGCCCUUUGAAACUUUCAAGAUAUGUCAUAACGUCACAUCCCAACACAUUCCAGGAUACUUCAUUUGCAUGCCGAGUCUUUUGCUUGGUGUGCAAGGAAAGUCCCGUGGAAAGCUGGGAUAUAAAACACAGAGGAUAGGAAGCUUCACCGUCAAGAAUAUAAAACAUAGAGGAUGGGAAGCUUCAGUGUCAAGAACUCGUAGCGACACAGUGUAGAAAAUAUAAUUCCAGGCUCCAGGCUCCAGGCACCAAAGCAAUUCUGCAAAUUCUUCAUUGUCGAUUCUCCAUAUUGUGAUUGGAAACCCAUGGCUCAAGUUCAUGCUGCGGAGUUGAAGGGCAAUCAACAGGACCUCAGUCCUAACAAGCGCAUGGGUUGUUUUGGAUGGAGGAGUAGCAGCAACAAGACCAGCAAGAUCAAGCCCAAGAAGAACGCCCAAGUCUCAGAUGGGAAGAUCAAGGAGAGAAAACAAGAACAAGCAAUAAUUGUUCCAUACUUCGCGGCUUCAGCCAGAUUGUCAAUGCUGUGACAUGGAUUUGCACAGAUUCAAGAUUUUUUCCUUUUCGUCUUGAAGAAGCGAACUUGUAAUAUAUUUUGUUGUUUCAUGAAUUGAAAUCAGUCAAAAAAAUCUCUUCAAUUCAUUCUCAAUGAUCACAAAAAUGCUUGUUAUCACUUCGCAGAAGAACUGAGAAUGUGGAAAACUUCAGGUUUGAGGACAUCAGUGACAUUCUCUCAGCCGCUCACUCACUUUGCCUGGUAGUCUUCAAUCUGAGGCGAAGAUCAAGGCGUAUAAUGAGGAAAACUACAAGCAAAUCCUCGCAUCCAGAGCUUGCAAGGUAAGGCGUGUUUUCGAGGAGAAACAAAUCCUUACUCUCUCUCUCUCUGUCUCACAUACACACACAGGCUGUGGAGAUUAGCAUCCAGCAAGAGCAAGGCUUCACUGAAACGAGAAAUUCUUUUCAAUGGUAUUCCAGCGAGAAUUUGGAUAAAAAACAGGGACCUUCUGGAGCGUACGCGCCGGCAGUGGCGGGUAUGUUGAUGCAGCAGCCAACGAGGCAGCCCGAGAUUGGCUCAACGGUGGAUCCAGAGACGCAGAGGAUUCGAGAGUUGCGAGCCGCCAUCGCCGGCAGGAACUAGGGACAAGCGCAUGGAUGAAGCUGAUGGUUCUAGCUUAAAAGAGUGCUAGC
This 9488-nucleotide long non-coding RNA is filed under the name Selaginella moellendorffii. RNAcentral's name for it is "long non-coding RNA (SMOE_LNC000511)". Lineage: Eukaryota; Viridiplantae; Streptophyta; Lycopodiopsida; Selaginellales; Selaginellaceae. The record is from RNAcentral.